ACUGCAUGGAGGAACUCUGAUGCUGCGAUGCCGCGUGAGUGAAGAAGGCCUUUGGGUUGUAAAGCUCUUUUGUAGGGGAAGAUAAUGACUGUACCCUAAGAAUAAGGUCCGGCUAACUUCGUGCCAGCAGCCGCGGUAAUACGAAGGGACCUAGCGUAGUUCGGAAUUACUGGGCGUAAAGCGCGCGUAGGCCGUUGAGUUAGUUAAUUGUGAAAUCCCAAAGCUUAACUUUGGAACUGCAAUUAAAACUGCUCAACUAGAGUUUGAUAGAGGAAAGCGGAAUACAUAGUGUAGAGGUGAAAUUCGUAGAUAUUAUGUAGAACACCAGUUGCGAAGGCGGCUUUCUGGGUCAACACUGACGCUGAGGCGCGAAAGUAUGGGUAGCAAAGAGGAUUAGAUACCCUCGUAGUCCAUACCAUAAACGAUGAUUGCUAGAUGUUGGAAAUUUAUUUUCAGUAUCGCAGCUAACGCAUUAAGCAAUCCGCCUGGGGAGUACGACCGCAAGGUUAAAACUCAAAUGAAUUGACGGGGACCCGCACAAGCGGUGGAGCAUGUGGUUUAAUUCGAAGAUACGCGCAGAACCUUACCAACCCUUGACAUGUCUGUCGCGAGUUUAGGAAACUAGACUUUUCGGUUCGGGCGGACAGACCCAGGUGUUGAUGGCUGUCGUCGGUCGUGUCGUGAGAGUUGGUUUAGUCCCGCAAGAGGGCAACCUACUUUAGUUGCC
Molecule: ribosomal RNA, 727 nt
Filed under: uncultured bacterium
Lineage: Bacteria
Description: bacterial SSU rRNA
Rfam family: Bacterial small subunit ribosomal RNA
Source: RNAcentral